RNAcentral lists this long non-coding RNA (1389 nucleotides) under Cyanistes caeruleus (blue tit). Its description in RNAcentral is "lncRNA (ENSCCEG00000004868.1)". Lineage: Eukaryota; Metazoa; Chordata; Aves; Passeriformes; Paridae. The record is from RNAcentral.
AUGUCCCCAAAAUGUCCCCAAAUGUCCCCAAACGUCCCCCAAACGCCCCCAAAAUGCCCCCAAAAUGUCCCCAAAAUGUCCCCAAAUGUCCCCAAACGUCCCUGGUGUCACCCACAGCUGCGUCAGUGUCCCCAGAUCCUGGAAGAGUCCCCGGGGCAGCGACUCCAGGCGGUUGUUGGCCAAACUCCUGUGGGGACAUUUGGGGACAUUUGGGGACAUUUUGGGGACAUCUGGGACCAUUUAGUGACAUUUUGGGGCCAUUUUGGGGCCAUUUUGGGCCAUUUUGGGGACAUUUGGGGACACUUGGGGCCAUUUUGGGGCCAUUUGGGACAUUUUGGGGCCAUUUGGGGACAUUUUGGGGCCAUUUGGGGACAUUUUGGGACAUUUGGGGCCAUUUUGGGGCCAUUUUGGGACAUUUUGGGGACAUUUGGGGUCAUUUGGGGACAUUUGGGGCCAUUUUGGGGCCAUUUGGGGCCAUUUGGGGACAUUUUGGGGACAUUUGGGGACAUUUUGGGGCCAUUUGGGGACAUUUGGGGCCAUUUGGGGCCAUUUGGGGACAUUUUGGGGCCAUUUGGGGCCAUUUGGGGCCAUUUGGGGCCAUUUGGGGCCAUUUGGGGCCAUUUGGGGACAUUUGAGGCCAUUUUGGGGACAUCUGGUGACAUUUUGGGCCAUUUUGGGGACAUUUGGGGUAAUUUUGGGGACAUUUGGGGCCAUUUGAGGCCAUUUGGGGCCAUUUGGGGCCAUUUGGGGCCAUUUUGGGUCAUUUUGGGGACAUAUGGGGACAUUUUGGGACAUUUGGGGCCAUUUUGGGUCAUUUGGAGUCAUUUUGGGGACAUUUUGGGGACAUUUGGGGCCACUUGGGGCCAUUUGGGGUCAUUUAGGGACAUUUGGGGACAUUUGGGGACAUUUGGGGACAUUUGGAGUCAUUUUGGGGACAUUUUGGGGACAUUUGGGGCCAUUUAGGGACAUUUGGGGACAUUUGGGGACAUUUGGGGCCAUUUGAGGCCAUUUGGGGCCAUUUGGGGCCAUUUUGGGUCGUUUUGGGGCCAUUUGGGGCCAUUUGGGGACAUUUGGGGACACUUGGGGACAUUUGGGGUCAUUUGGGGGCCAUUUGGGGACAUUUGGGGACAUUUGGGGCCAUUUGGGGACAUUUUGGGGCCAUUUGGGGACAUUUGGGGACAUUUGGGGACAUUUUGGGGCCAUUUGGGGACAUUUGGGGACAUUUGGGGACAUUUGGGGACAUUUAGGGACAUUUGGGGACAUUUGGGGACAUUUUGGGGACAUUUUGGGGACAUUUUGGGGCCAUUUGGGGUCAUUUGGGGCCAUUUUGGGGCCAUUUGGGGCCAUUUUGGGUCAAUUUGGAGAAUUUUGGGGCCAUUUGGGGACAUU